CUGCAGGGCAGUCCGUCGCGGAUGCGGCCGAUGAUCCCCGCGGAGGGAUCGACGCGGCAGUACAGAGCGCCGCCCGUGGCCGCCACCGCCACCAUCCAACUGGACGGGGAGAUCGGGUACAGCCCGCACAGCACGCGGUUCUGCAACGCAAUGCAAUGCAAUGCAAUGCAAUGCAAUGCAACCCCGGGUACAGCCCGCACAGCACGCGGUUCUGCAACGGAAUGCAAUGCAAUGCAACCCCGGCCCGCACAGCACGCGGUUCUGCGGGGGGGGGACACAAUGCACCCCCAUACGGACACACGGGGACACAAUGCAAUGCAAUGCAAUGCAAUGCAACCCCGGGUACAGCCCGCACAGCACGCGGUUCUGCAAUGCAAUGCAAUGCAAUGCAAUGCAACCCCGGAUACAGCCCGCACAGCACGCGGUUCUGCAACGCAAUGCAAUGCAAUGCAAUGCAAUGCAACCCCGGGUACAGCCCGCACAGCACGCGGUUCUGCAAUGCAAUGCAAGGCAAUGCAAUGCAACCCCGGGUACAGCCCGCACAGCACGCGGUUCUGCAAUGCAAUGCAAUGCAAUGCAAUGCAAUGCAACCCCGGGUACAGCCCGCACAGCACGCGGUUCUACAACGCAAUACAACGCAAUGCAAUGCAAUGCAGUGCAAUGCAACCCCGGGUACAGCCCGCACAGCACGCGGUUCUGCAACGCAAUGCAAUGCAAUGCAAUGCAACCCCGGGUACAGCCCGCACAGCACGCGGUUCUGCAAUGCAAUGCAAUGCAAUGCAAUGCAACCCCGCACAGCACGCGGUUCUGCGGGGGGGGGGGGGGGACAUAAUGCACACCCAUAGAGACACACGGGGACACAAUGCAAUGCAAUGCAAUGCACCCCCAUACGGACAUGUGGGGACACAAUGCAAUGCAAUGCAAUGCACCCCCAUACGGACAUGUGGGGACACAAUGCAAUGCAAUGCAACCCCGCACAGCACGCGGUUCUGGGGGGGGGGGGGGGGGACACACAAUGCAAUGCAAUGCAAUGCAAUGCAAUGCAAUGCAACGCAAUGCAACCCCGCACAGCACGCGGUUCUGCGGGGGGGGGACAUAAUGCACCCCCAUACAGACACACGGGGGGACAUAGAGCUCCAUAGGGACACACAGAGGGACAGAGAGGGACAUAGGGGGACAUAGAGGUCCAUAGGGGGACAUGGAGGUCCAUAGGGGGACACAGGGGGACAGAGAGGGACAUAGGGGAACAUGGGGACAUAGAGCUCCAUAGGGGACAUAGAGAUCCAUACGGACACAGAGGGGGACAUAGAGGUCCAUAGGGGGACAUAGGGGGACAUAGGGACACAUAGGGGGACAUGGAGGUCCACAGGGGGACAUAGGGGGACAUAGAGACACACAUGGGGGGACAGAGUGACCCAUUGGGACAUACACGGGGACAUAGAGGGACACAGAGGUCCAUAGGGACACACAGAGGGACAUAGAGGUCCAUAGGGGGACAUAGGGGGACACAUGGGGACAUAGAGCUCCAUAGGGACACAAAGGGGCACAUAGAGGUCCAUAGGGGGACAUAGGGGUCCAUAGGGACACACAGAGGGACAUAGAGGGACAUAGGGGGACAUAGGGGUCCAUAGGGACACACAGAGGGACAUAGGGGGACAUAGGGGGACAUAGAGCUCCAUAGGGACACACAGAGGGACAGAGAGGUCCAUAGCGACACAGAGGGGGACAUAGAGGGACAUAGGGGUCCAUACAGACACACAUGGGGACAGAGAGGUCCAUAGGGGGACAUAGGGGGACACAGAGGUCCAUAGGGACACAUAGGGGGACAUAGAGGGACAUAGGGGGACAUAGAGCUCCAUAGGGGGACAUAGGGGGACAUAGGGACACACAGAGGGACAGAGAGGGACAUAGGGGGACAUAGAGGGACAUAGGGACACACGGGGACAUAGAGCUCCAUAGGGGACAUAGAGAUCCAUAGGGACACGUGGGGACAUAGAGGUCCAUAGGGGGACAUAGGGGGACAUAGGGACACAUAGGGGGACAUGGAGGUCCACAGGGGGACAUAGGGACACAUAGGGGGACACAGAGGUCCAUAGGGGGACAUAGGGGGACAUAGGGGGACAUAGAGACACACAUAGGGGGACAGAGUGACCCACUGGGACAUACACGGGGACAUAGAGGGACACAGAGGUCCAUAGGGACACACAGAGGGACAUAGAG
This is a long non-coding RNA of Gallus gallus (chicken), 2220 nucleotides long. The record is from Ensembl. Lineage: Eukaryota; Metazoa; Chordata; Aves; Galliformes; Phasianidae.